AUUCUUUGGCCUUGUAGGUUAUAAGCGGUCACCAUCGGCAUUUGGAAAAAAUGCAAAAACUUUUAUUUGCCACACCAAUGUGAAGACGGGGAUGGUUGAGGCUUGGAUUCGAUCAUAUUGAUUCAUGUGAAACACAUCCAGCGUUUCACACUUGUAAACUUUCUGUACCCUUAUAGACCACACACCGAACCCAUCACACUCGACUUGCCUCCAGAAUUAUUUUCCCAUCCAUGCCUAAAAUCACUUACUUUUGGUCGGUAUAACAUAGAAACUCCACAUGCUUUUGACAACUG
Molecule: long non-coding RNA, 293 nt
Filed under: Eutrema salsugineum
Lineage: Eukaryota; Viridiplantae; Streptophyta; Magnoliopsida; Brassicales; Brassicaceae
Description: long non-coding RNA (ESAL_LNC002161)
Source: RNAcentral